Hylaeus anthracinus is the source of this 4937-nucleotide long non-coding RNA. RefSeq lists it as uncharacterized. The transcript is spliced from 2 exons. The record is from RefSeq and is a predicted model, not a curated record. NCBI's taxonomy places the organism in Eukaryota, Metazoa, Arthropoda, Insecta, Hymenoptera, Colletidae.
UUGAUGCACGUUCGUUGAAGCAUCCUCGACGACUGACACGCGUUGAACUAAUGUUAACUGGAAGAUGGCGUCGUCUUGAUGGCGAUGAAUUGGAGUGACGGACCCGCGAAUAAAGUAAAAUUUGGAAUUUUCUUUUGCAGGUGGGGAUGUAGCGUUUUCAAGGUCGCGAUGACCUAGACAAAUUUUCGAAACAGGAAAAUGUUCAAACGGAAGUACAUACCCGCCUUCAAAAAGAGUUCCCACAUUCUACUUCGCGUUACAGUUCGUUACUCUGACGUAAUUGCAGAAUAAGGGAAAGUAUACGAAGACUACCUAUUGUCAUAUUAAUCUAUAAAUUAAAUGUACUCCAUAUACGAUUAUGGAAUUCGAUUUAACUGUAAUUAAUAAAAAAAAAAAAAGUGCGAUGUUGAACGGAUCAAAUUAUACGAAGUAUGUGUAAUGGGACGAUUUUAUGUAAUGUUGUAUUCGAACAAACUCUAGAGCGUCGAAGUCUAUGCUUGAAGCUGCCGCGGAAGUCUGUGAUAAGCCAAUUAACAAUUUUCUGCAUUACAGAAGUUUUCUACACGUUUUUUUUUUUUUUUUUACAAAUGUACUUCUGUUAUUCAUGUUUCCUCGUACAUUUCGUACCUUCUGACAACGAUCUACAGAUACAGUCACAUAAGAUAAUGGUAACAUUCCUUCGGGAGCAUUUAUGGUUUGUCCUUAAAAGUAUUUAUUUUACGCGCAGACUGACUAUUAGUAUUCACGAUAAAUGUAUAAUAUUCCUGUCGAAAUAAAGAAUAUUCGUAGCGGUAGUACCGUCUUUCGCUCGGUGUCACUCGAACUCCCAGCGUUAAAGUUCUUCGUCGCGAAAAUAAGCAGUAUUGUACGUAGGUAUACGGAAUACAUCAAGAAAAUAAUACAAGAACGAAGGAUGGCGGCUCGAGUGCUACGAGGAACAGGAGAAGCGUCCGACGAAGAGGAAAUACCUGAAAUCCGGAAGAUUGCAUUGGGUUUUAUAUAAAAUGUUACUUUUACCACUACUGCGUAAGCAAAAGAGUUUUAAUCCACUCUUGAUUUAUCAUGCUUGAGCUGCAGCGGCCACUGCUAGUUUCUUUAAUAAACGAAUUCCGCAGGACUGCGUUCUAAGUUCACGAACCUCUGAGUCCUCGUCCUUCUAACCUCGUGCCAUUAUCCCAAUGUGAACUUGCCGAUCCGACUGCUUUCUUUUCUCUGAAAAACGUGUCGAGAACGGUAACCAUCGCUUCAAGCUUGUCGCACAACUCCAGUUAUGGAGUAGCAUUAAUUGCCAUUAAUCCAGGUACGGCUGAGACCUCGCAGAAGUAUUUAGAAAUGCGUUGGAAGUUUGUCUCGAAUGUAAUUUUUAAUUCUCCGUUUCCGCGUCGAGUAUAUCAGUUCUUCCAGAGGGCUGUUUUGGAGAUCCCAAACUGGUUACAGUAAAAUCAUUUUAGAGGUAGCCAUACCUGGGUUAAAAAUAGCGCAAAAAGAAAACUUUCGGCACGUUAAUCGAGAGAGAGUCCCUCGAGGCUUUUCGUAGAAGAAGCUGUUUCGCUGGUCGAGGAAGCCAAGCCUCUUUCAUCACUAGCGCUCAACGCGUGCUCGCGUCUAACUUGGUCCCUCUGUUUUCAGCCUACCGGAAGAUGUACAUGGGCGACCAGGUUCUCGGCUACACGUGCACAAUGUGCAGCAAAUUCUACAAGAUGUGGAGCAACUACUUGAAGCACAAGUGCGAACCGCCACAGUUCAAGUGCCCGCUCUGUCCGUUCGCCGCGUUCAAGGCUUUCAUUCUUCACGCUCACCAGGCCGAGCAGCACUUCAAGGUCACCUCGCCGAACACGUGAACCAAUCGAACGCGAUAGGUGAACGCCGCAGCCAACGCGCUAUCGAGUUGCCUUAAUCCGCGUCGCAGCUUCUUCGUGUCUAAUCCACCCAGUCCCAGGACGUUCCUCCCACGGUAGACAGGAACGGUUUUCCGAAACGAACACGAAGAAAGGCGAGGAAGGUGGAGCGCGCGGAAUCUAACUAAAUACUUCCUCCUUCGCGCAGGAAACUUGCGGCGGCGAUGCCCGUAAUUAUCUUGCUGCGCGGCCAAGAUGACGAAAAUACGACUCAUCGGUCUAUUUUCCAUCAGGACAAUAAUCUGCGCGCAGGGAUGGGUGAACUUUGGAUGCAAAAUUUUGGACAGAUCCCCCACAUCCUCUAAAAAAUCUUUCGUCAUAAAUUUGAAGACAGGUGUUAGCACGUUCAGUACUCGUCCUACGUGCUGAACACCCGCAUUCGGUAUUCGGUAUUCGAGAUGUUCCUCGAUGUUUCAAGCCCAUUCCUGUGACAGACAAAUUUUGAUUUCCUUUACGAUGAGCGCUUUAUUAUUAAAUCGACGCUACGCUUGCUACAUCAAGUGUUCGCAAGCUAGCGAACACCUCGACGGACUGAUCGCGCGUAAUGCUUAAAAAUCUUUUCCUAACUACCGUAUCGUUCGCGUCAAGCGACAAAUACCUACUGUCACUCUUUCGCAACAUAGUUCGCGCUAACUUUAUAGGUUACGUAGAACGCAAGGUUUCUCGGCUGAUGAAUUAGCCGUAAGCAUUAUCCAUUAGCAAAUCCUUCUCGCGCCGCUGGUCUCGAUUAACGUCCCCCAAUGCUUUGUUUCAUCGCGUGAUCCUCAGGUUCAUUCAGUUGUACGAUUCGAAGACUCGUCUCGAAACUAGAAGCAGAUUGGUCAAAUUGUAAUUGCGUUACAAAUCCCAAUCGUUGGUUGUUUUGUAAAAUGCGUAACUGAUUUUACCGCUUGGAUUUAACCCUCUGUACCCGAACCACCUACAUUGUCAUUAAGUAACUUAUUUACAACAACCGUCGAUCACAAAUUUUUAUAUAAUCGAUUGUUCCUAUCAUCGAUACCUUCUUGCAUACUUUUUUCAGAAGUCAGAUAUAACUUGGGUUACAGGGGGUUAACGACAGGCGAAGACGAUAGAGGAAAAGCGUCGUUCAUUGGCGCGCGCGCCUGAACAUAACUCGUAAUCUCUAGUAAUCUCGUAAAUGCAUGUAUUUUCGUAAAGCCAAAAAUAAAGAAUCACUGCAAGAGUAUUUGCAAACGAAACGAAGGGGCUGUCAUUUGUUGGACGAGAGGCGAAAAGAAGCUUUCGUUUCGCAACCACCUCCUCUUAUCGUUCGAACAGGCAAUCGAAAACCACGUUCGAUCGAACGUCCCAACGAAACGCCGUCCUAUCGCAGGAGGAAUAGACGACACGGGUUGAUUCGAUGGAAUUCCUAAUAACGAACGAUGAAUUUUCUGUGUUUCAGCCAUGGUCUAUCCUUGCAGUUCCUGCGGCAAAGCGUUCAAAUGGAGGAAGAGCUUGGUGCGGCACGAGCGCGAAGAGUGCGGGAAGAAACCCUACCAUUGUCCUCAUUGUCCUCGCGAGAUGAACCUGAAGGACAGCCUGAUCCGUCAUUUGCGCGUAAAGCACGGCCAGGAUUGUCGCGUUAGGACGCGAGUCGUGCACCGUCCGAAUUCGCGGAGAGUAGACAGUUACCUGGGUUCUACGAUGGACGGAGAAAUUAUACGACUGCCCAGGAAACGAAUGAAAAGUCUACCCUUUCGAUAUUAACUUUACGCUUCUUCACUUCUCGCAACGAAUUCUUCCGGUUAAGAACCAUUCAUGGACUGCUAUGUGUUUCCACGAAUGCUGCGAGUGCAAGAGGAUGUACAGGUCGAGAAUGGCUCUAAAUCGACACGUCAGAGAGGAGUGCGGCAGGGUGUUGUAUACGUGUCCCUUCUGCCACAGUAUCAUGCCCAUGAAGUUCAACCUCCUCAACCACCUGAAGAAGGAACACGGCUGCGUGCCGAAGACGUAAAUUGAAAUGUUUCAACAAUGAUCGUUCGUCGAGAAAUAUCGCGAUCAGACUCUUUAUAACGCCAUUGCGGUUCAAGCGAUAUGUUGUUCCUAUAAAUUAAGGUUGUGUGUGCACUGUCUCUUGGAUAACCGAUCGCAAAGUGGUCUGGCACGGUUGUUCAGAAAAGGUAGCUAUUGUUUUCCAGGUAGGUUAUCCGGAACAUGGUACGACUGUUUCGUUAUCAUCGAGCGCGUUCAAUGUAUCGUUUAUUUCUUCGGUUCUGUUAACUAUGCAUUUGAUUUAACAGCACUAAUCUGUGGUCGAGAACUUUUGUGAGCGUUGUCCGCGUUGACGGUCUAUGGAAACAUGUUGAAUAUGUACAUAGCGCGUGUGUGCGUCGCGAGACGAUAAAAUAGACUUUAUUUUUACAAGCUGCACUUAAAACUAAGAUUUAUUAUAAAACGGACCAGACGAGCUCCGAGUGUCUUUUCGUGCGUUAACGUUUCGCUGUUUCCUUUCCUCUCGAUCUAACUCUUAACUAACGACAAACAACAAUGGAUGACGAUCUGGUUGAAAGCAUGUAUCGCAAUUGUGUAGCGUGUAUUACAGGCACGUCGUUUUAAGAUAACAGCAUCAAUAAAGUGACAUCGAAGCAUCGUUAUACGUAAUUGCAGUCGUGUAUCUUGACCUCGUUUUUCUUUCUCGUUCAAGAACAGACUCCGAAGGUACGCUGGAGCUUGUGCGGCGUACUAACACGUGCAUGAGGAAUCGACUCGAGUGAAUCGCAAACUUGUGCCUUGCUUUUAUUUUAACGUGCGCGCUUGAUUUAUUAUUCUUUGUUAUUUAAAGACAGGCGAUAAAGACGAAAAAGAUACACAAGUGGAUUUGACGUAGCUUGCUUUUGAAGUGCAGAUAUGUAUAGGAAGCUUGAAACAUCUGUCUUUGGUAGGCGGAUUUACGUCAAUAUUUAAUGUUAUUUAUUGAUUAUCUCGCCAUUACUUUCAUGACGUUUGCGAGCGAGUUAGGUUUAAGGAAACUCACACGAUGCUUCUCGUCCUCUUUCUCUCCGCUAAAUUAAUAAACACGGUUUCACGUUGCUCCACUGA